RNAcentral lists this non-coding RNA (95 nucleotides) under Schistosoma japonicum. Lineage: Eukaryota; Metazoa; Platyhelminthes; Trematoda; Strigeidida; Schistosomatidae. The record is from RNAcentral.
CUUCUUUUAUGAGCGACAACAUUUCUGUCGUUGAACUACAACCGAGCUCGAUGGUGUGGAACAACUCAUCAAGAUGUUGUCGGUCGAACAAGUCU